Molecule: non-coding RNA, 773 nt
Organism: Vicugna pacos (alpaca)
Lineage: Eukaryota; Metazoa; Chordata; Mammalia; Artiodactyla; Camelidae
Source: RefSeq, a predicted model, not a curated record
UCCGGCUUGGAGGAAAAACAGCCUUAUCAUAACCGUGACCAAAGACAUCCUGAUCACCGUCACAAGUCGGCAUUUACAGUUUGGUCUUUCCAAACACCGUGGGAACGCGUCUCCUGUAUCUGUCUCCCAGCUAGCUCAAGACAUCUGUUGAAGAGCAGGUCACCCUCCUUCUGCCUCUUGGAAACGACUCACAAGCUAGAACCUCUUCUGAAGCCUCAAACUCCUCCCACAGGUCCUUUGUGGCUGAGACCAGACCUGGUGUAUCUCAGUCCUCAAGACCUAGCCCAGGAUCUUGUUGACGGAAGGAGACCCCUGUGCCCAGCUCUGCGGUCUGUACCGCCUCCUCAGACCCCCUUCCCUCUCUCACUUCCACUUCAGAGGUGAAGACAGACACAGCCUCCUUUCCCGGGGUGGGGGAGGGGCGUGUGACACAAAUGAGGGGAGAGAGACAUAAGCAGAAAUUCACUGUGGGAUCUGGCGGUAAAUCAACUCAUCUUCUUCCUACUUUUACAUAAGCAUGAUGGCUGAGGCACACAGCAGCUUAUGUCCAUGACAGAAAAUCCCAGAAGGUGCCAGCUACAAAGGUCCUGAUUUUGUUAAAUCACAGAAUCCCUAAAGGUAUCCAUCUGCUGUCAGGCCUUUGGCUUGUGAGGAGAAUAUGCCUUUGCUCGAGUAAAAUUCGGGGUGCUUUCUACAUGCCAGGCACUCUUCUAAGCAAGACAAGAAGACAGAUAUAGAGGUGUGUGUGUACCAUGCCAUGUGAAUGACAUUCC